Molecule: ribosomal RNA, 490 nt
Filed under: uncultured bacterium
Lineage: Bacteria
Description: partial 16S ribosomal RNA
Rfam family: Bacterial small subunit ribosomal RNA
Source: RNAcentral
AUUGAACGCUGGCGGCAGGCUUAACACAUGCAAGUCGAGCGGUAGCACAGGGGAGCUUGCUCCCUGGGUGACGAGCGGCGGACGGGUGAGUAAUGUCUGUGACACUGCCUGAUGGAGGGGGAUAACUACUGGAAACGGUAGCUAAUACCGCAUAACGUCGCAACACCAAAGAGGGGGACCUUCGGGCCUCUUGCCAUCAGCUUUGCCCAGAUGGGAUUAGCUAGUAGGUGGGGUAAUGGCUCACCUAGGCGACGAUCCCUAGCUGGUCUGAGAGGAUGACCAGCCACACUGGAACUGAGACACGGUCCAGACUCCUACGGGAGGCAGCAGUGGGGAAUAUUGCACAAUGGGCGCAAGCCUGAUGCAGCCAUGCCGCGUGUGUGAAGAAGGCCUUCGGGUUGUAAAGCACUUUCAGCGAGGAGGAAGGUGGUGAGCUUAAUACGUUCAUCAAUUGACGUUACUCGCAGAAGAAGCACCGGCUAACUCCGUG